This 405-nucleotide ribosomal RNA is filed under the name uncultured bacterium. Its description in RNAcentral is "bacterial SSU rRNA". It matches the Rfam family "Bacterial small subunit ribosomal RNA", at positions 355 to 774 of the family's 1533-position model. The record is from RNAcentral.
UGGGGAAUUUUACGCAAUGGGGGAAACCCUGACGUAGCGACACCGCGUGAGCGAAGAAGCCUUUUGGGGUGUAAAGCUCUGUCAGCUGGAACGAACACAAUGACGGUACCAGCAGAGGAAGCCACGGCUAACUACGUGCCAGCAGCCGCGGUAAUACGUAGGUGGCAAGCGUUGUCCGGAUUUACUGGGCGUAAAGGGAGCGUAGGCAGACUUUUAAGUGAGAUGUGAAAUACCCGGGCUCAACCUGGGUGCUGCAUUUCAAACUGGAAGUCUAGAGUGCAGGAGAGGAGAGUGGAAUUCCUAGUGUAGCGGUGAAAUGCGUAGAGAUUAGGAAGAACACCAGUGGCGAAGGCGACUCUCUGGACUGUAACUGACGCUGAGGCUCGAAAGCGUGGGGAGCAAACA